Canis lupus familiaris (dog) is the source of this 987-nucleotide long non-coding RNA. RefSeq lists it as uncharacterized. The record is from RefSeq and is a predicted model, not a curated record. NCBI's taxonomy places the organism in Eukaryota, Metazoa, Chordata, Mammalia, Carnivora, Canidae. The transcript has 2 exons.
UUUAAAUAAAAGAAGAAAGAGCACAGAACAAAUAUACAUCCAGAUAUAUGUGCUCCUAUGCUGGCCUUUGUCAUCUUUGCUCCACUUGAGGUGAAUAUAGAAAAAUACCUGCAGAAGGUUGAAGUUCUCCCCAAAAUAUAAUUUUGGAUCGAUUCUAGCAUACAGAUGAACAUAGAACGGAAUCCAAAAGUUCUGCUCUGUGUAGCAUGGCAACGAUUGAUUGAGCUUCAAAACAAUGUCAAGCAGUUAGAAUCAGAUACUCGCUUCAGGUGAAAAACCACAAAAACAGUUCUUAAAAACCCUCCUUUUCGCACCUAUAGAAUACCUGACCUUGAAGAGCUGUUUCCUCACACAUCUUCCAGGCCCUCUGGCUGGGGCCUGUGAAUUGGCAGACAGGAAGAUUAACUUGAAAACAGUCUCUCAGCACGUCCAUCGCAUACACAUGGAGCACCCUGAGAUGAGGAACUCAAAGGAGUGGUUAGAAUUUGAGGUCUCUGCACUCAACUGAGCAGGGAAAGGAUGGGAAAGGGUGUGUGUGGAAGAACAAACGGCUUUUUGGAAAGAUAAAUGGGUCCUUGGAGGCAUAUAUGGGAGAUAGAUAGUUUGGGACGAUGUGUGUCUGGGUGUGGUGCCGACUUCUUGUCUCCCAGAAGCUAUUAAAGUGGCUCCUGGGAGGGGAUUUGUGACAAUUGAGUUCUUUUGGGAGGCCCUGCAUUUAGGCAGAUAAGGGAUUUCAAGAAGUCAAAUGCCUUUAGCUCAAAAUAAUCCUGUCAAAGAGGCAUAUUUUGGGAUGGCAUAUCCCGAUCCCCUUCAGCGUGUAAGACCCUGUAAUACUCUUAGGACAUUCCUGACGAAUAGCGAACACUCUCUGAAUGCGUGUUGUGUCACCGUGAUGACUGCUGUGAUGGAAUUCUGUUUGGCCAUCCGGAAGUGAAGAUUUGGGUUGAAAAAAAAAAAAAAAAGAUUUGGGUUGAGCUUUGCUUGUAC